GAUGAAGAACGCAGCGAAAUGCGAUACGUAAUGUGAAUUGCAGAAUUCAGUGAAUCAUCGAGUCUUUGAACGCACAUUGCGCCCCCUGGUAUUCCGGGGGGCAUGCCUGUCCGAGCGUCAUUGCUGCCCUCAAGCACGGCUUGUGUGUUGGGCCUCCGUCCUCCUCCCGGGGGACGGGCCCGAAAGGCAGCGGCGGCACCGCGUCCGGUCCUCGAGCGUAUGGGGCUUCGUCACCCGCUCUUGUAGGCCCGGCCGGCGCUUGCCGACACAUCAAUCUUUUUUCCAGGUUGACCUCGGAUCAGGUAGGGAUACCCGCUGAACUCAAGCAUAUCAAUAAGCGGAGGA
Molecule: unclassified non-coding RNA, 345 nt
Filed under: soil metagenome
Description: partial contains 5.8S ribosomal RNA, internal transcribed spacer 2, and large subunit ribosomal RNA
Rfam family: 5.8S ribosomal RNA (bases 1-120)
Source: RNAcentral